RNAcentral lists this ribosomal RNA (506 nucleotides) under uncultured Glomus. Its description in RNAcentral is "SSU rRNA". It matches the Rfam family "Eukaryotic small subunit ribosomal RNA", at positions 569 to 1077 of the family's 1831-position model. The record is from RNAcentral. Lineage: Eukaryota; Fungi; Glomeromycota; Glomeromycetes; Glomerales; Glomeraceae.
AGCAGCCGCGGUAAUUCCAGCUCCAAUAGCGUAUAUUAAAGUUGUUGCAGUUAAAAAGCUCGUAGUUGAAUUUCGGGAUCAGUACGCUGGUCAUGCCUUUGGUAUGCACUGGUGUCACUGGUUUCUCCCUUCUGAAGAACCGUGAUGUCAUUAAUUUGGUGUCGCGGGGAAUCAGGACUGUUACUUUGAAAAAUUAGAGUGUUUAAAGCAGGCUCACGCUUGAAUACAUUAGCAUGGAAUAAUGAAAUAGGACGUUUGACCCUAUUUUGUUGGUUUCUAGGAUCGACGUAAUGAUUAAUAGGGAUAGUUGGGGGCAUUAGUAUUCAAUUGUCAGAGGUGAAAUUCUUGGAUUUAUUGAAGACUAACUACUGCGAAAGCAUUUGCCAAGGAUGUUUUCAUUAAUCAAGAACGAAAGUUAGGGGAUCGAAGACGAUCAGAUACCGUCGUAGUCUUAACCAUAAACUAUGCCGACUAGGGAUCGGAUGAUGUUAAUUUUAUAAUGACUC